AACGAACGCUGGCGGCAUGCCUAACACAUGCAAGUCGAACGAGACCUUCGGGUCUAGUGGCGCACGGGUGCGUAACGCGUGGGAACCUGCCCUUAGGUUCGGAAUAACUCCCCGAAAGGGGUGCUAAUACCGGAUAAUGUCUUCGGACCAAAGAUUUAUCGCCUUUGGAUGGGCCCGCGUUGGAUUAGCUAGUUGGUAGGGUAAAAGCCUACCAAGGCGACGAUCCAUAGCUGGUCUGAGAGGAUGAUCAGCCACACUGGGACUGAGACGCGGCCCAGACUCCUACGGGAGGCAGCAGUGGGGAAUAUUGGAAAAUGGGCGAAAGCCUGAUCCAGCAAUGCCGCGUGAGUGAUGAAGGCCUUAGGGUUGUAAAGCUCUUUUACCCGGGAUGAUAAUGACAGUACCGGGAGAAUAAGCGCCGGCUAACUCCGUG
This 433-nucleotide ribosomal RNA is filed under the name uncultured bacterium. RNAcentral describes it as "partial 16S ribosomal RNA". It matches the Rfam family "Bacterial small subunit ribosomal RNA", at positions 29 to 507 of the family's 1533-position model. The record is from RNAcentral.